GCCAGAGUGGUCUAGUGGUUUGAGCAUUAGGCUAUGAUGCUGGAGAUCAGGGUUGGAAUUCCUGCUCAGCCA
Molecule: non-coding RNA, 72 nt
Organism: Phrynosoma platyrhinos (Desert horned lizard)
Lineage: Eukaryota; Metazoa; Chordata; Lepidosauria; Squamata; Phrynosomatidae
Source: the annotation of a GenBank genome assembly